This 1060-nucleotide long non-coding RNA is filed under the name Chrysolophus pictus (golden pheasant). RNAcentral's name for it is "lncRNA (ENSCPIG00010001365.1)". Lineage: Eukaryota; Metazoa; Chordata; Aves; Galliformes; Phasianidae. The record is from RNAcentral.
CCCCAGCACCUAUGGGGACCUCUAUAUGGACCUGCAGGAUCCCUAUGGGGACCCCGACGCUUAUGGGGACGCCUAUGGGGAGCCCCCCUCCCGCUAUGGGGGGGCCGACGUGGAACCCUGGGAUGCUUAUGGGGACCCCUACGCGGACCCCUAUAGGGACGAGGAGCCCCACAGGGAGCCCUGGGGGUCCCACCUGCCCCAUUCGGACCCUUAUGGGGCAGAAGACCCCGAGCCUGGCAGCCUCCGCCGUGGGAGGGACCCCCAAACCCGGCCCUGGGUGUCCUAUGGGGAUUCAGCUGCAGAACCCUAUAGGGCUGAGGACCCUUAUGGGGCUGAGGACCCCUAUAGGGCUCAGGACCCCUAUGGGGGGGGGGAUUCACAGACUGAACGGGAGACUGAAGGCCUGGCCGGGCCGUGGGACCCCCACAGUGACCCUGGGGACCCCUAUGGGGUCGAGGACCCCCGGCUGGAGGCUUCAGACCCCUAUAGGUUUGGAGACCCCCAGAAUGACCCCAUAGAUACCCACAGAGCCCUAGACCCCCAUCCUGGUCCUAUAGAACCCUAUAGGGCCCAGGACCCCGAGGCUGACCCCAGGGAACCCUACAGGUUUCGGGACCCCCAUCCUGACCCCAUAGACCCCCAUAGAGCUCAGGACCCCCGUCCUGGCCCCGUAAAGCCCUAUAGGUUUGGGGACCCCCAUCCUGACCCCAUAGACCCCUAUGGAGAGCAGGAUCCCCAUCCCGACCGCAGGGAGCCCUACAGAGCUCAGGACCCCCAUCCUGACCCCACAGAUCCCUAUAGGGCCCAGGACCCCCAUCCUGGUCCUAUAGACCCUCAUAGAGCUCAGGACCCCCAUCCUGACCCCACAGAUCCCUAUAGGGCCCAGGACCCCCAAACUGACCCCAGGGACCAUUACAUAAACUGGGAACCCCAAACUGAGCGUAGGGACCCCCAAAAAUCCCAAGACCCCAGAAUGACCAGGCCCUCCCUUAUAGGGACCUUCAGGACCCCCCAGGACCCCCGCAAUCCCCUUCCCACCAUCAGGGCUCCCCCAGUUCCU